CCUAUUGUACUGCCCUGGUAUCAACUACUGUAGACAAUAUCUCUACGUGGAUGUUAUUUGCACGUUGAAUAAACAAACUUUGAUGACACCAGACUUGAACAUAACAGCUUCAAAGGGCUACGAAUAAUUGUAAACAAUGGAUAUGGUCAUCACCAAUUUAAGGGUUGGCUUCGGGCAAGCAUUGUUAACUGCGGCCACUGUGAGCGUAUCCACUAACCCUUUAACCGUACUGGGAAUUGUGGCAAUUGUUGGGGCAGUAUACUGUAUUACAAAAAAUAAUGGACAUCAUAGACAAGAAUGACCACAUCCCAAGUUUGUGGCAAGACAUUUAUGGAUGUGUCAGCAGACAUGCCCACUUUAACUAAAACAUUUAAGUAAAUAAAAACAAUAAACAUCCAUGACUCAUUCAAA
Molecule: long non-coding RNA, 411 nt
Organism: Osmerus eperlanus (European smelt)
Lineage: Eukaryota; Metazoa; Chordata; Actinopteri; Osmeriformes; Osmeridae
Exons: 3
Source: RefSeq, a predicted model, not a curated record